GGACUACAGGGGUAUCUAAUCCUGUUUGCUCCCCACGCUUUCGUGCCUGAGCGUCAGGAGGCGGCCAGGACGCUGCCUGCGCCGUCGGUGUUCUUCCGGAUCUCUACGCAUUUCACCGCUCCACCCGGAAUUCCACGUCCCUCUCCGCCCCUCAAGACGGCCCGUCUUCACGGCCCUCGCCCAGUUGAGCCAGGCGCUUUCACCGCAAACUAAGCCGUCCGCCUGCGCACCCUUUACGCCCAGUAACUCCGGACAACGCUCGCCUCCUACGUAUUACCGCGGCGGCUGGCAC
Molecule: ribosomal RNA, 292 nt
Filed under: uncultured bacterium
Lineage: Bacteria
Description: partial 16S ribosomal RNA
Source: RNAcentral